This 611-nucleotide long non-coding RNA is filed under the name Malus domestica (apple). Its description in RNAcentral is "long non-coding RNA (MDOM_LNC007436)". The record is from RNAcentral. Lineage: Eukaryota; Viridiplantae; Streptophyta; Magnoliopsida; Rosales; Rosaceae.
UUUUUUUUAAUAAAGCCCAUUGACUAGCCUCCAACUAAACAAAUUCUUUAAUUAAGUUUGACUUUUUAAAUUGUGUAUUUUUUGAAUGCCUAAACUACCCCUAUUAAUACUUGGAUGCGAUUUUUGGAUCAUUUACUUGUUUUAUCCAUUUAAUUAAUUUUAUAUAUUUUACAAAAUAAUUCAUGCCAUUCAUUGUAUAUUCAAUGUAUUAACUUUCAAAUUGUUAUAACGUGCCAAUUGAAAAAUAAUACUAUUAAUUUCAUAAUUUUGUGCAUUAAAUAUAUAAGUUAAUUUACCUACCAACACAAGAAUAAACCUAAAAUAGCUUCAGCUACUACUCCAAUCCCUAAUACACAAAACAAAAGCGAUAUGUUCCGUGCAAUUUUUACCUACAAAAUAGCCUAAUUUACCUAUUCCAUCAAACUAAAAUUUGAAGGGUCUAAUUUACUUCCAAAAUGGUCUAAUUUACCUACUCCAUCAAACCAAAAUUUAAUGGGUCUAAUUUACUUCCAAAAUGGUCUAAUUUACCUACUUGAUUUAUGUGCAUUAGAUUAAAAGUUUAUUUAAUUGCCUACAAGCACAAACCCACAACAUUGGAACAUUAUCUAAUA